CAAGAUUCUUGAGAUCAACAAUUGAAAGCUCAUCUAAAUGCCUCACCACCAAGUCUGCAGCGCUGAGCUCAUACAUGGGAUGCUUGCUAGCAACAGCCACACACUUCAUCCGAGCAUCGUGGGCAGCCUCCACAGUCUGAUUGGAGUUCCCNAAACACAAUACAACGUUCUGGAAUAAAUUUUAGAAGCUGUGCUGCAUAAACAAACAUCUC
RNAcentral lists this unclassified non-coding RNA (212 nucleotides) under Hevea brasiliensis (rubber tree). Lineage: Eukaryota; Viridiplantae; Streptophyta; Magnoliopsida; Malpighiales; Euphorbiaceae. The record is from RNAcentral.